RNAcentral lists this ribosomal RNA (551 nucleotides) under Tritia cuvierii. RNAcentral describes it as "partial 12S ribosomal RNA". Lineage: Eukaryota; Metazoa; Mollusca; Gastropoda; Neogastropoda; Nassariidae. The record is from RNAcentral.
CGCGGUUAUACCAAGUGAUUAAGUUAUAUUCUUAGGUAAAAAGACAGUUAGGUUUAAAAAUAUAUUUAGUCUAUUGACCACUUGUAAAAAAGUAAAAUUUGUAUACAAGUAGCUAAUCUAGAAGUGGCUACAUUAAAUGCUGAAGCUGUGAUAGUCUUGAGGGAAACUGGGAUUAGAUACCCCAUUAUUCUUGAUUAUAAAUAUAAUUAAAUUUACCAGAGUACUAUGAAUAGUUAAAAAUUUAAAACUCAAAGGGCUUGGCGGUGUUUUAGACCUAUCAGGGGAACCUGUCUCAUAAUCGACAAUCCGCGUUAUAUCCAACCUUACUUUGUACUCAGUUUGUAUACCGUCGUCGUCAGGUAACUUUUUAAAAUAUAGAAGUUAGCAAGAAAAACUGUAAGUUAAAACGUCAGAUCAAGGUGCAGCCUAUAGUAAGGAGAGGAUGGGUUACAAUUAUUAAAUUUAUAAUUACGGAAAUUUAAAUGAAAUUAUAUUUUGAAGGAGGACUUGAAAGUAAACUAAAUUAUAUGAAUAGUUUGAAUAAGGCUCUG